Molecule: ribosomal RNA, 411 nt
Filed under: Roseibium aggregatum
Lineage: Bacteria; Pseudomonadati; Pseudomonadota; Alphaproteobacteria; Hyphomicrobiales; Stappiaceae
Description: bacterial SSU rRNA
Rfam family: Bacterial small subunit ribosomal RNA
Source: RNAcentral
GGGACCUUUCCGGGUGUGGCAGACGGGUGAGUAACGCGUGGGAACCUACCUUUAGGUACGGAACAACAGUUGGAAACGACUGCUAAUACCGUAUGUGCCCUAUGGGGGAAAGAUUUAUCGCCUAAGGAUGGGCCCGCGUUGGAUUAGCUAGUUGGUGGGGUAACUGCCUACCAAGGCGACGAUCCAUAGCUGGUCUGAGAGGAUGAUCAGCCACACUGGGACUGAGACACGGCCCAGACUCCUACGGGAGGCAGCAGUGGGGAAUAUUGGACAAUGGGGGCAACCCUGAUCCAGCCAUGCCGCGUGAGUGAUGAAGGCCUUAGGGUUGUAAAGCUCUUUCAGCGAGGAGGAUAAUGACGUUACUCGCAGAAGAAGCCCCGGCUAACUUCGUGCCAGCAGCCGCGGUAAUGA